GACGUAGGGCGCGAGCGUUGUCCGGAUUUAUUGGGCGUAAAGAGCUCGUAGGCGGCUUGUCGCGUCGUCCGUGAAAACUUGGGGCUCAACCCCAAGCUUGCGGUCGAUACGGGCAGGCUAGAGUUCGGUAGGGGAGACUGGAAUUCCUGGUGUAGCGGUGAAAUGCGCAGAUAUCAGGAGGAACACCGAUGGCGAAGGCAGAUCUCUGGGCCGUAACUGACGCUGAGGAGCGAAAGCAUGGGGAGCGAACAGG
This 253-nucleotide ribosomal RNA is filed under the name uncultured bacterium. RNAcentral's name for it is "partial 16S ribosomal RNA". It matches the Rfam family "Bacterial small subunit ribosomal RNA", at positions 524 to 776 of the family's 1533-position model. The record is from RNAcentral.